AACUUUCGGCAAUGGAUCUCUUGGCUCUCGCAUCGAUGAAGAACGCAGCGAAAUGCGAUACGUAAUGUGAAUUGCAGAAAUCAGUGAAUCAUCGAAUCUUUGAACGCAUAUUGCGCUCUUUGGUAUUCCGAAGAGCAUGCUUGUUUGAGUAUUAGUAAACACCUCAACCUCCUCUUGUUUUUUCAAAAGGAGGGUGGACUUGAGCUAUCCCAACAACCUUCACCGGUAGGCGGGCGGCUUGGAAUGCAGGUGCAGAUAAAAUUUUAUUUGAGCUAAAAGCAUAUCUAUUUAGUCCUCGUCAAACAGAAUUAUUACUAUUGCUGGAGCUAACAUAAAGGAUAAUUGUCCUCAUUGCUGACUGAUGCAGGAUUUUACGACACUUUAUGUGUUGUUCAACUCGAUCUAUAAUCAAGUAAGACUUCACGCUGACCUUAAGCAUAUCAAUAAGCGGAGGCU
This 456-nucleotide unclassified non-coding RNA is filed under the name uncultured Mortierella. Its description in RNAcentral is "sequence contains ITS2". The stretch from base 1 to 154 matches the Rfam family "5.8S ribosomal RNA". The record is from RNAcentral. Lineage: Eukaryota; Fungi; Mortierellomycota; Mortierellomycetes; Mortierellales; Mortierellaceae.